RNAcentral lists this unclassified non-coding RNA (223 nucleotides) under plant metagenome. RNAcentral's name for it is "partial contains small subunit ribosomal RNA, internal transcribed spacer 1, and 5.8S ribosomal RNA". The record is from RNAcentral.
UUUCCGUAGGUGAACCUGCGGAAGGCUCAUUAAAGUGAAUAUGCCCUUCGGGGUAGAUCUCCCACCCUUUGUUUAUAUUACCUUUGUUGCUUUGGCAGGCCCGUCUUCGGACCACCGGCUUCCGCUGGUCAGUGCUUGCCAGAGGACCCAAAACUCUUAUUAUUAAUGUCGUCUGAGUACUCUAUAAUAGUUAAAACUUUCAACAACGGAUCUCUUGGUUCUG